This 502-nucleotide ribosomal RNA is filed under the name uncultured bacterium. RNAcentral describes it as "partial 16S ribosomal RNA". It matches the Rfam family "Bacterial small subunit ribosomal RNA", at positions 28 to 507 of the family's 1533-position model. The record is from RNAcentral.
GAUUAACGCUGGCGGCGUGCCUAACACAUGCAAGUCGAGCGGCAGCGAGUUUUACACUGUAUUCUGGUAGCUUCUAGUUGAAAGAGAAGAUUUAUUCAAGAAUUUUUUGUAAAAUGUCGGCUAGCUGCGGACGGCUGUGUCACGCGUGGGAACGUACCCCAAAGUGCGUGAUUACGCAUCGAAAGGUGUUCUAAUUCCGCCUAUUGUCUUCGUCUUAAAUCCUUCGGGCGCUUUGGGAACGGCCUGCGUAAGAUUAGAUAGUUGGUGGGGUAAUGGCCUACCAAGUCGACGAUCUGUAACUGGUGUGAGAGGAAGAGCAGUCAGACUGGAACUGAGACACGGUCCAGACUCCUACGGGAGGCAGGAGUGAGGAAUCUGCCACAAUGGGCGAAAGGCUGAGGGAGCAACGCCGCGUGAAGGAUGAAGGACUUCGGGUGGUAAAAUGCGUCUAUAAGUGAGGAUUAUGACAGUAACUUAUGAAUAAGGACCGGCUAACUACGUG